GGCGAACAGCGGUGGAGGAGAGGCAGCACCGAUGAAGAUGGAUGUAGGGAGCCAUCCCCCUAGCAUCGGCGGCCCUGCAAAAGGCCAGCGGAGAAGCGAUGAAGAGGAGGUUCAUCCCCUAGUCGAUGACUGAGUUUAUGGCCAUGCAGAGGGGAUGGGGCCGACAGGGGUCGGUGGUGGCCGGUGGGGGUGGGGGGAGGGGGCGUCCUUCCUGUGUAGCUCCUAACAAGAUAUUGUGAACAUCGACACGGGUGGAAGUUGCAGAAAGGCAAUGGCCCCUACGUGGAUCUGGAAGUGGCGUUACUCCUGUUCAUCAGUGACUAUGGGUGAUGAAGGCUUGGGCAGCAGCAGUUACCCGCCUUGGUGGAGUAGAAAGGAAUUGCACCAUCCCGGCGUGGAUUUGGAACAGUCGACGACCACCGGAGAGGAGGAAUAAACUAGAUCUGGAUUGAUACAUUUUCGCAAUUUUUUUAUGUUCCAGCCAAUAUAUUUGGAUUUUUCUUCGUGUUGAAUCGAAGUAUUGCAAUGGAUACUUUGAUGGUGUUUCAUAUUUCUUGCAUAUUUGGGAUGUUUCAACGGGUUGAAGUUUGAUGUUUCAUCCAUGAAAAUGAAAUGUUUCAAUGGUAUUUCAACUAUGUUUC
RNAcentral lists this small RNA (641 nucleotides) under Oryza sativa Japonica Group (Japanese rice). Its description in RNAcentral is "sRNA Os05g0468000". Lineage: Eukaryota; Viridiplantae; Streptophyta; Magnoliopsida; Poales; Poaceae. The record is from RNAcentral.